Molecule: transfer RNA, 83 nt
Filed under: Chryseobacterium camelliae
Lineage: Bacteria; Pseudomonadati; Bacteroidota; Flavobacteriia; Flavobacteriales; Weeksellaceae
Also listed under: 4 other names
Description: tRNA-Leu
Rfam family: tRNA
About the family: Transfer RNA (tRNA) molecules are approximately 80 nucleotides in length.
Source: RNAcentral
GCGGAUGUGGUGUAAUUGGUAGCCACGCCAGAAUCAGGAUCUGGUGCCGAUAAGGCAUGGGGGUUCGAGUCCCUUCAUCCGCA